GUUGAAACCCAGCCCGUACGCAGUUGCAGCGACCUAACCCCUUUCCCUGACCCCCAAGCGCGGUGGCGGCGGCCAGAUCCCUCAACCAAGUUAGCCAAGUACGCGGGGCGGAGGUGAUGUUCCACCUUUCCGAUGGCUCUUGCCAGUUGUGUCGCCAGCGGCUCUGUUUGAGGCCGAGCAGAUCUGAUCUCGUGGAGUAUUAAGAUCCGCGUCGCAGUAUGCUCAUCGUUGCCUCCCGAUCUCAGGCUCCGGCAGCGGCUGGACAACAAGCUCGACGAACAAGAAGCACUGUAUCUGGAGGCAACUGUUGUGUGCCGUCAAGAUAGCACCGUUCAUGCAGUUCUUAAUGGCAAUGCUUGUUGAGCGAUGAUUAUUAUAGUCCUUCAGACUUACCCUUGCCCGUCAUGUACCAAAGUUGAUGCAGUUUUCGCUAGCAAUACUUGAUCCUGUGAUAUGAGUGUCUUUUGUGUUAUGCCUGGGAUGUUACAGUUUGACAUGUACUAAAAAAUGCGGCGCUGAUAGUCCAGUUUGACAUGCACUCAAGUAUUUGUUUCUGGAAUGGUUCAUUUUAACAUUUAUGC
This 581-nucleotide ribosomal RNA is filed under the name Triticum aestivum (bread wheat). RNAcentral describes it as "partial small subunit ribosomal RNA". The record is from RNAcentral. Lineage: Eukaryota; Viridiplantae; Streptophyta; Magnoliopsida; Poales; Poaceae.